Pteropus alecto (black flying fox) is the source of this 1774-nucleotide long non-coding RNA. RefSeq lists it as uncharacterized. The transcript has 4 exons. The record is from RefSeq and is a predicted model, not a curated record. NCBI's taxonomy places the organism in Eukaryota, Metazoa, Chordata, Mammalia, Chiroptera, Pteropodidae.
GUUGUUCCCCAGGCCACCCCCACUGUAAAAAUAACAUCACCUUCAUUUAUUCUUCCCUUUUCUAUCCACGACAGAUGACUCAACAGCAGAGAGUGUUGGCCUCUCAGACGGGGCUAUCGUCGGCAUCGUGAUUGGAGUCCUGGUCGGGGUGGCUCUGAUAGCAGCCCUGGCGUACUUUCUGUACAGCAGAAAGACUGGAGGGGCAAGUGACCAGCGCGAUCACACAGAGCACAAACCCUCAGCCUCCAACUAAAGGUCACUCUGACAACUCGCCUAACCAGAUCGAUGAAGUUACAUAAUGUUCCCUGAACUUCAGUGCCCAGGAACCAAAGAGACCAACCUCAGCCUCCCUGUCCUCAACGGCCACAAAAAUGGUUUAUUCGGAAGUAAAAAAGAAAUAAUGCAACCUGCCCUGCUUACUGCACUGCUGACUGAUCCCAAGCUUCUCUUCUCUCACUAGGGGAUCCUUUUCCCCUCAGAGAGAAGGAGAAGCCUCUCUCCUCACUUCACUCCACAUGAGGCCCCUCCAGGCUGCCUGGUCAAGCUCCUCCCUUCAGAAUCAACAGAUGAAAAGGUACAUCCGGGAGUCUGUAGGAAGCCUACCCUUGUCAUUGAAAUCUGGCUAGUUAAUAUGUAUCAGAAUCAGCAAAUUCCAGAGAUGGUUCUUUAAAAAGCAAACUUCUGGCCAGAUUAUUAAGAAAAAUGAGAGCAGGCACAAUAAGCAAUAUUAAGGGUGAAAAAAAAGGAAACAAUGGCAGACAUUAGACAGCAGAAGGAUAUCACGAAUAUCCUUAUUGCAAAUAAUUUCAAAAGUUAGGAAUGAAUACCUAGAAAAAUAAAAUGAAUCCGGAACUGAGUCAAGGAGAAAAUAAGCAUGAGUGAUCCUCUUCACCAAUAAAGAAACUGAGUUAGUGUUUUUGAUCCUUCCGAUAAAGAAUACACAAAAUCUAGAUAAUUUGACAGGGAGUUUCCUAAACAUCGAAGUAACAAUUAAUUCUAAUUUUACACAUACUCUUACAGCAUAUAGAAAAGAGAACACUCUCCCAGCAAUUAUUGUGAUGCCAGUCUAAAUUUGACCUCCAAACCAGAACAAACUCAGAAAGGAAAACGACAGGCUAGUAUCAGCACAUACAAAUGUCCCACAGGAUAUAUGUCUAUAUAUAUAUAACCACACUCCGGCAAUGAAUGAAAAAGAUAAUGUGUACAAAAUGUGGUUUUAUUUCAAGAAUACACUUAGUUUAACAGUAGAAAAAUCAGUUUAAUUCAUAGCAUUAAUGGUUUAAAAGAGGAAAACUAUGUAAAAUUUUCAGAAGACGCUUUCAAAAAAACUCCACCUAAAAAUUCAGCCUCAGUUUAUGUUAAAAACUCAGCAAACCAGAAAUUUAAAAAAGCUUUCCUAAUCUCAUACAAGGUGUCUACAAAAUGCUACUGCAAAUGUACUCUUUAAGAUCUGAGAACGAGGCAAGGUGGCCGCCAUCACCACGUUAAACUGGAUAUCGGGGGUACGUGCCAUGCAGCAUGACAAAAUGAUAAAAUAAAAUGUCUGAGAACCAAAAAAGAAAAAAACAUCAUAAUGUAAUGAUGGUAUUAUUGCUUUAUGGAAAACUCAAAAGAAACUGAUAAAUUAACAAGGUUGAUACUAUAAUUUACCAAGAUUGCUACAUGUACAAUUUGUAAUGAUACUCAAUGACACUGCUUGCUUUAUAAUCAUAAAUGUGCUUUUUAAAGAUAAUAUUUGUAAUAUUGAUCUGAGAAUAAACAACUUUAUGUGCAA